This 83-nucleotide transfer RNA is filed under the name Deinococcus aquiradiocola. RNAcentral's name for it is "tRNA-Leu". It matches the Rfam family "tRNA". From Rfam's summary of the family: Transfer RNA (tRNA) molecules are approximately 80 nucleotides in length. Their secondary structure includes four short double-helical elements and three loops (D, anti-codon, and T loops). RNAcentral also lists the same sequence under 2 other names. The record is from RNAcentral. Lineage: Bacteria; Thermotogati; Deinococcota; Deinococci; Deinococcales; Deinococcaceae.
GCCGGAGUGGUGGAAUUGGUAGACGCACUCGACUCAAAAUCGAGCGAGAAAUCGUGCGGGUUCGAGUCCCGCCUUCGGCACCA